UACGUAGGGUGCAAGCGUUGUCCGGAAUUAUUGGGCGUAAAGAGCUCGUAGGCGGUCCGUCACGUCGGCUGUGAAAACCCGGGGCUCAACCCCGGGCCUGCAGUCGAUACGGGCGGACUAGAGUUCGGCAGGGGAGACUGGAAUUCCUGGUGUAGCGGUGAAAUGCGCAGAUAUCAGGAGGAACACCAGUGGCGAAGGCGGCUCACUGGCCCGGUACUGACGCUGAGGUGCGAAAGCGUGGGGAGCAAACAGG
This 253-nucleotide ribosomal RNA is filed under the name uncultured bacterium. RNAcentral's name for it is "partial 16S ribosomal RNA". It matches the Rfam family "Bacterial small subunit ribosomal RNA", at positions 524 to 776 of the family's 1533-position model. The record is from RNAcentral.